UUUACAUUUUGUAGGCAAGUUGAGCAGCAUUUUUAGGCAGUUUAUUCUGCUAAUAUUUGUGAUAAGUAGAAGUGUGACCAAGUGUGAACCGACAAACAUGGAUAGUGAUGCGGCAGGAGUUAUUUCGCGGAGCACGACCAACUGAGCUCGUUCCUUUAAAGUAAAUUGGUCCACAAAAAGACGGUCGCCGAUAAGAAAAUCAGCCUGGUCUACAAGCGGCAUAAACUGCAGAACAAGCCGCUACUGAAGCAUCCUAUCAUGCAGAACAUGUUCAAUGGCAAACGUACUUACGGGACUUGCGUCAGGUCGCCCUUCAUAGUGCUGAUGUUAUGCGAUUCCAGCGACUGGCGACGGCCUUUAAGAACAGGACUGGUGGUGCCACUGUCUACGAAAGUGCAGGUGCCACUUCCCAAAAAGGUCUAGUGAGCAAAGGUGGACGAUGGAUUUGUGAUUGUGGUGAAUAGGGCCUAAAUGCAGAUGCUUAGUUGGCUCGACUAGGCCAUGUAUUUCAAAUGAGCUGAGCUGCUCGUCGAAGCUUUCGUAAUACAACCCUUAGAUGUGGGAAUUUUCGUCAUGCAGUAUAAGAUUAGAAGAUGAAAAAUAAAAUAAUUGUU
Long non-coding RNA from Wyeomyia smithii (pitcher-plant mosquito), 614 nucleotides. RefSeq lists it as uncharacterized. The record is from RefSeq and is a predicted model, not a curated record. Lineage: Eukaryota; Metazoa; Arthropoda; Insecta; Diptera; Culicidae. The transcript has 3 exons.